RNAcentral lists this ribosomal RNA (253 nucleotides) under uncultured bacterium. RNAcentral describes it as "partial 16S ribosomal RNA". It matches the Rfam family "Bacterial small subunit ribosomal RNA", at positions 524 to 776 of the family's 1533-position model. The record is from RNAcentral.
AACGCAGGUGGCAAGCGUUAUCCGGAUUUACUGGGCGUAAAGCGUGUGCAGGCGGGUGGGCAUGUGGGGUAUGAAAUCGCCAGGCUAAACCUGGCGGGGUUAUGCCAGACUGGCCGUCUGGAGUGCGAGAGAGGGGCGUGGAAUUCCGGGUGUAGUGGUGAAAUGCGCAGAUAUCAGGAGGAACACCAAUGGCGAAGGCAGCUCGCUGGAACGGUACUGACGCUGAGGCGCGAAAGCGUGGGGAGCGAACAGG